UCUCCGUAGGUGAACCAGCGGAAGGAUCAUUAUUGUAUAACCAAAGUCCGAGGGCUUUCGCAGCCACCAAACCACUUGCACGGCCGAGUGCCCUCACACACAUCCAUCUCACCCCUAUGUACAACACCGCGGGGGUCCCGUUUUUGCGUGUUCGGAUGGGGUCUCACGUUUUCACACAAACUUUAUAUGCAGUGUAUGAUGUAUUUUAUGAUUUUGCCAUCACGCAAUCAAUACAACUUGAAACCACGGCACCCUUGGCUCUCGCAUCGACGAAGAACC
Molecule: unclassified non-coding RNA, 279 nt
Filed under: plant metagenome
Description: partial contains small subunit ribosomal RNA, internal transcribed spacer 1, and 5.8S ribosomal RNA
Source: RNAcentral